GUAAUAAUACAAAGUUUAAACUUAUCAAUUUGUGUACUAAACACAUGUAUUAGUGAGUCAAUUUAUAGUAGUACUACUACUAUUAGUUCUGCACUUACUAGUACUUGUACCAAGACAACGUACGUGUUUGCUCACUCUCUGAACCUGGAGACACAGCGAGCUAGCACUUGCCAACACAAUGACACACACAUUUCUUAUUCAACUCCUCUGCUCCCUACCUCCAUAUCUAGGUCGCCCUCAGCAAUAGUUCCCCCAACAAGUGGGGAUUGCUGUCUACUGCUUUAUCUAAAUCUUGUUGAUGUCAUUCCCUCUUUUUUUAUUUUGAUAACUUAACAUUCUAAUUUCCCUGAUUAUGAUCUAUGUUUUUUAGGAUGCAAGUCUUGGUGGCACUGCUGCAUGGCGCAAAAUAGAGCUUGAGAGGGCGGGCGGCCACGAUGGCCGUGAUGGAGCUGCUCCGUGAUCAACCAGGGGUAUGAUUGGGUAGUGGUCUACAAAGUGCUACCCAUCAUAAUCCACGCCAGGACAUGAUAGUUGCCAUCAGGAGAGUCGACGAAGAACCUCAACAGCAGCUUCAAAAGUUUAUAUGUUUUGUUGGUGUAAACUGGAUUGUACUGCUUGUUAACCUUGUUGUGUGAUAUAUUUAGUGUUGUAAAUUAUCAUUACAUGGAAGGAUUUGUAAACUGCUAUGUUGUAUAUACACACAGGAUUUUUUUGAGAAAAAUAUAUACAUACA
Molecule: non-coding RNA, 733 nt
Organism: Triticum urartu
Lineage: Eukaryota; Viridiplantae; Streptophyta; Magnoliopsida; Poales; Poaceae
Source: RefSeq, a predicted model, not a curated record